RNAcentral lists this long non-coding RNA (4387 nucleotides) under Homo sapiens (human). Its description in RNAcentral is "non-protein coding lnc-GLB1L2-1:7". Lineage: Eukaryota; Metazoa; Chordata; Mammalia; Primates; Hominidae. The record is from RNAcentral.
CAAAUGCCUGGCAGCGUCCUCGGUGCUUCACCUGCCAUAGCCGACAGUGGCUGACCUCCCAUGCCUGUUGCCUUUUCUUUCUGUUGGAUCAGGGAUACACUGCCAUGUGUGUUAAGAAAAGCUGGCCUUACCUACAGGGCUGGCCAGUCCCGGUCACGUUUCUAGUAAGCCAUUGCCUUACAUAAGGGUAACGGCAUGGGACGCUAUCUUAGCCAAUGUGAUAAAAGUGGACAUGAGGUGAGAGGCUUCAGAGAGAGGUUUUAAAAAAGAGACAAAAGCAGGACGUUGCCUCUCUUCCUCCUCUCCACGUGUCCUACCCGGAUGUGAAGCCAAAACAGAUGCAGGCUUAGUGCAACCAUGGGGAACCCAGCAUAAGCACAGAUUCAACAGCAGAAGAGUGGCAGAGGGAGAAGGUGAAAGGAACCUAGGUUUUCCUGUCCUUGUUGAGUCAUUCAGUUAAAAAUCCCUGGAAUUUUCCUCUCUCCGGCAGUGUGUUUUGUGGGAUAAUGAGUUGCCUUAUUGGGGUUGGCUUGCUAGUCGGGAUGUUUCGCUCCCAUCAACAUCCAUACGCUUGCUCUGUGAACCAAUGACCUGAUGAGGUAGUAUUAGCACCACCAUCAUUAUGCUGAGGAUGAGAUUUAUGGCACAGUGGUUCAGUAGCUUGCCCAAGGCCAUGCGGCUGGUAGGUUCUGGAGGAGGGCUCAGGGCACCCCCUGAGCUACCCCUGCUGGCCAUUGCACCACCCCAUAAAGCUGCUGGCAGUCACUUCUCUGAGGGGUUAGCAUGUAAGAAAUGUCCUCCUGAAUGCUGGCCAGACAAAUGGAAAUCUGCCAGGGUUGGGUACCCCCAUGACAGCAGCCAGCCUGCCCUCUUAGUCCCUGACAGCUGCAGUGACAGCAUCUGUGAUUGCAAAGCGUGACAAUUUAUAUCUCUCAUUUCAUCACACCAUCUAUCAGCAGACAGUCAGGCUUUAAAAAUCAAUCCCACACUGACUCAGUCCCCAGCAGAGAUGGCCUCUGACAACAGUAUCCACACUGCAGGCUGGACAAGGGCCCUAUUAAUUUUGAGACUCAGCCAAAUUUCCUUCUGACCCUAAGCUGGUGAAUCCCUGCUCCUUUGCUUUGGUUGGGGUUGGUGUGAGCUAAGGCUGUGAUCCCAUUUGCUCCUAUGGCCUCCAGGUGGCCUGGGCCUCCAUGAAUGGGCCACAUGGUCAUACUGAAUGCUUGAUUACACUCAGACCUAGCAGUCGUCUGGGCGCAGCUGGUUUAUGGAUCACUUUGUCACAAUGUUCCAUCCUUCCAGGUCCCCAUCCCCGCGGUGGGAAAACAUUGCUUUAGGCAGUGCUAGAGGACUUCAGCAGGCAUUGGCAGCUUCUGGAUUCAGGAUUAGAACAAAGAAGGAGGAGUCACAGCAAAGAUAGGAACAGAAGGCAGAGAGAACAGACAGAUGGGGGUGUUUGAGAAGGAGGGCCUUUGAGACCUCAGGGAGUGGGAGACACUGGCUCGAGAAUAAUAAUAAUGGCAAUUUCUCUCAUCUGUGUUUUCAGGGCAUGGACUGGAACUCCCAAUACCCCUGACAUGGGCUGAGUCAACGUGGUCAUGAACAUGUGACAGGAGGCAGCAGAAGUUGCAGAGAAGAGUGAGGCACGUUUGAAAAAGGCUGAAAAAUGUUUCUGUCCAGGCAAGGGUGUGUGCUGAAUGACUCAAGGAUUUUUUGGUGCAUUGAAUGAACAGCGGGACAUUGGACACCUGCUGAUCCAUCACCCCGGGCCCGGGCAGGCCCGUGGAUGAAGAGAGAUGGAGAAGACCAGGCAUGAGACUGUGGAGAAGCCACACCACCAGAAACCCCUGCCCCAUGCGCCGUCCAGCCCACACCUGUGGAUGCACGGGGGAUUGCAGGCAGGGCUCCCACCGUGGACUCAGGAACAGGCAGGGAAGCUGCUGCCUCACCAGGCGAAGGGGCCAGGAGGGGGAGGCGGAGAGGCCCGUCUAGCCCCUGCGGCUGUCACCGUGGUGCCUCCUCACUGGCCAGUGCGGUCGCGCCUCAGCUUCGUUAAUAGGGGAGGGGGCCUAAGAGUUUUCACGUCCAGGCUCGGGCAGUGGGGAGGCAGGCAGGAGUGGCCGCUGGUUUUUCAGACCUCCCAGGGAGGCCGAGGAAAUGGCCCGUCCUGGAGUGGGCGUGGUUCUGUCUUCAGAUGGAUGCUGGAGGGUUGGGCUGCGUGGGACCCUGGGCCCUGCUGCUUCCCGGAGGAUGCGCUGUCCGGGGCUGCACAGGUUGGCUGUGUUUUUUGGAUGCUUGAUAUUUUGUUUUUUCUUCUCUUCACUCUGUCAUGAAACUGGCAAUAGUAGUUUGUAAAUAAAUAUGUGUUAUAGAUGAAUAUUUGCUAUGAGUAAAUUAAUAAAGGAGUGAAUAAAUGAGCGAUUGAUGUAGGGCCUGUCCUGUCUCAGGGAGCCCCACGAAGGCCUGCGCGCCGGCCAGAGCCUGCCUGCCUGCCAGGGUACUGGGACGUCACUCUCAAAGCGGCGGGACCCAGCCGCUGAUCUUGCUGAGGAGGCCCGGUCUCAGAAAACUGAGCGGCUGCUUCUGCAGACCCUGCAUCCUCCCCUCCCUGGAGAAAGAAGCUCUGGCUGAGUCCUGGGACCGAACCCUUGGGUGCCACAGAAACGGGCUUUGCUGCCUGUCAGUCAAGCGGCGGGAGAAACAGACCUGGGGAGGAGGAGGCUGGGAGGGCUGUGUUUUCUGCACAGCGAGUAGCUCCUUAGCCUGGUGCCAUUUCUCUCCAAACACCCUGAAGGUUGAGUCCAGGGUGAAGAUGUAGAGGCAAGUUUUGGGGGGAUGGAGUGGGCUUGGAGGGAUGCUGGCGCCUUAGCAGGCUGUGCUCCUGAGGUGCCCAGUGUCUGCGGGCACAGGAACAUGUUGCCGAGGGCAUUUGGGUGUGGGUGGGGUGGGGAAAGGGAGACAGGGCUGUCUCUUUUAAUGGGUAUCUGCGAGCAUGUGAUUGUAAGAGAGGAAGAAGUAGGGGAGGAAGAAGGCCUCCUUGGGAGGUGCGUCAUCCUGAGGAAGGCUGAACAAUGAGGGUCUUGGAGAGUCAAUUCAGAAGCACAACCUUGCAGAGCAGGCAAAAACAAUAGGGCUUCUUGAGGCUGCCCGGGCACUCAUGCAAUCACCAUUUCCUGCUGUGAAUGAGCCUACAUUUUGUUGGGGAAGAGACGCAACGACGCCAAACGAUGGACUCUGAGUCAACGAUAAGAUGAAACAAAAUUAAAACAAAGUAGGAAAUCAAGAGUGGCUGCUGUGAUGGCGUUGCGGAGAUGAUGUUUGCUUUGAGAACUGGACAAGUGAGCCCCUGAGCUGCAUCUGCACCCAGAGGCUGAGCCGGUGCACAGGACUUGCAGAGGGAUGGGCCUGGGCUUGUAGAGCAGCACAACGGCCCCAGGCCUGGAGGAGCAAGGGUGGGAAGGGGGGCAGGCCAGCUCCUGCCAGGCUGGAGAAGGACUCGGACCUCAGGCCACCUGUGCCUGGGUGAUUGUGAACUUGUAACAAAUGUGAUCUUAUUUAUGUUUUGAAAAAGGCAACACAAACCAACACGAGCCGUGUGAGGAUCAGGUGACAGCUGCCCAAAAGCUGACACAAGGAACAAGCCUGGAGGAGUGAGGAUGGGUGCUGUGAAGGAGGUUGUGCAGCUGGGCCCGCAGUCGGACCUGGUGAGAUCAGAGGAGGGGGUGCCACCAGUCUGUGGACGAAGAUGAGAAGCUGGAAUAGAGCAGAAAACAGGAGGCUGCCACUCUCCAUCUUUCCCAAAGUCACUCCAGGAGCAAGGGUGUCAUUUACUGAAAUGACAGACUCUCCAUUUCACAUUUUUCCCCCAAGUGCAGAGUGCAGGGAAGCAGAUGGGCUAAAUUUUUAGAGUCAGGGUUAUUAAUGUAUACUUUACAUAGUAAACUUUCCCCUUUUAAGUGUGCAGGCCUGAGGUUUGCCAAAUAUGUGUAGGCAUUUAAUCACCACCACGAUCAAGAUGUAGAAUAUUCCCACUAUCAAAAAGUUUGCUGUGUCCCUUGAUGGUCAUGCCCCAUUCCACAGCCCCAGCCCCAGCCCCUGGAGAUUGCUGUCUGCUUUAUGUUCCAGUGGUUUUAUCUUUUCCAGACUGUAUGGAUGUGAAUGGAAUCAGAUGUGAUUCCAAGGUGUUUUAUCUUUUCCAGAUGUGAAUGGAAUCAGAUGUACGAAAUCCUAUGGUAGGGGGUCUUCUGAGUCUAGCUCCUUUUGUUUAGCGUGAUGCAUUUGAAAUUAAUCCAUGUCUCAGGCAUCAGGAGUUCAUUUCUUUUUCUGCUGAGUAGUAUUUCAUUGUAUGGAUGUACUGCAAUUUGCCUAUCCAUUCACCUGUUGAUGU